This 253-nucleotide ribosomal RNA is filed under the name uncultured bacterium. RNAcentral's name for it is "partial 16S ribosomal RNA". It matches the Rfam family "Bacterial small subunit ribosomal RNA", at positions 524 to 776 of the family's 1533-position model. The record is from RNAcentral.
UACGGGGGGGGCAAGCGUUGUUCGGAAUUACUGGGCGUAAAGGGCUCGUAGGCGGCCAACUAAGUCAGACGUGAAAUCCCUCGGCUUAACCGGGGAACUGCGUCUGAUACUGGAUGGCUUGAGAUUGGAAGAGGGAUGCGGAAUUCCAGGUGUAGCGGUGAAAUGCGUAGAUAUCUGGAGGAACACCGGUGGCGAAGGCGGCAUCCUGGACCAACACUGACGCUGAGGAGCGAAAGCCAGGGGAGCAAACGGG